RNAcentral lists this ribosomal RNA (234 nucleotides) under uncultured bacterium. Its description in RNAcentral is "partial 16S ribosomal RNA". It matches the Rfam family "Bacterial small subunit ribosomal RNA", at positions 97 to 334 of the family's 1533-position model. The record is from RNAcentral.
GGCGGACGGGUGAGUAAUGCUUGGGAAUCUGCCCAAUAGCGGGGGAUAACUCGAGGAAACUCGAGCUAAUACCGCAUACGCCCUACGGGGGAAAGCGGGGGAUCUUCGGACCUCGCACUAUUGGAUGAGCCCGAGUCGGAUUAGCUUGUUGGUAGGGUAACGGCCUACCAAGGCGACGAUCCGUAGCUGGUCUGAGAGGACGAUCAGCCACACUGGGACUGAGACACGGCCCAG